UCGGUCCUCCAACCCCUGUGAAUACCAAUUGUUGCCUCGGCGGAUCAGCCCGCUCCCGGUAAAACGGGACGGCCCGCCAGAGGACCCCUAAACUCUGUUUCUAUAUGUAACUUCUGAGUAAAACCAUAAAUAAAUCAAAACUUUCAACAACGGAUCUCUUGGUUCUGGCAUCGAUGAAGAACGCAGCAAAAUGCGAUAAGUAAUGUGAAUUGCAGAAUUCAGUGAAUCAUCGAAUCUUUGAACGCACAUUGCGCCCGCCAGUAUUCUGGCGGGCAUGCCUGUUCGAGCGUCAUUUCAACCCUCAAGCCCCCGGGUUUGGUGUUGGGGAUCGGCGAGCCCUUGCGGCAAGCCGGCCCCGAAAUCUAGUGGCGGUCUCGCUGCAGCUUCCAUUGCGUAGUAGUAAAACCCUCGCAACUGGUACGCGGCGCGGCCAAGCCGUUAAACCCCCAACUUCUGAAUGUUGACCUCGGAUCAGGUAGGAAUACCCGCUGAACUUAAGCAUAUC
RNAcentral lists this ribosomal RNA (505 nucleotides) under Fusarium proliferatum. RNAcentral describes it as "eukaryotic LSU rRNA". The stretch from base 139 to 292 matches the Rfam family "5.8S ribosomal RNA". The record is from RNAcentral. Lineage: Eukaryota; Fungi; Ascomycota; Sordariomycetes; Hypocreales; Nectriaceae.